GAUGAACGCUGGCGGCGUGCCUAAUACAUGCAAGUCGAGCGAACAGAUGAGGCGCUUGCUCCUCUGACGUUAGCGGCGGACGGGUGAGUAACACGUGGAUAACCUACCUAUAAGACUGGUAUAACUUCGGGAAACCGGAGCUAAUCCGGGAUAAUCUAUUGCACCGUAUGGUUGAAUGGUAAAAGACGGUUUUGCUGUCUCUUAUAGAUGGAUACGGGCCGCUGUAGCUAGUUGUGAAGGUAAAGGCUUACCACGGCAACGAUGCGUAGACGACGUGAGAGGGUGGUAGCCCACACUGGAACUGAGACACGGUCCUGACUACUAAGGGAGGCAGCAGUAGGGAAUCGUACGCAAUGGGCGAAAGCCUGACGGAGCAACGCCGCGUGAGUUAUGAAGGUCUUCGGAUCGUAAUACUCUGUUAUGAGUGAAGAACAAAUGUGUAAGUAACUAUGCACGUCUUGACGGUAACUAAUCAGAAAGCCACGGCUAACUACGUG
This 497-nucleotide ribosomal RNA is filed under the name uncultured bacterium. Its description in RNAcentral is "partial 16S ribosomal RNA". It matches the Rfam family "Bacterial small subunit ribosomal RNA", at positions 28 to 507 of the family's 1533-position model. The record is from RNAcentral.